Molecule: long non-coding RNA, 2075 nt
Filed under: Brassica napus (rape)
Lineage: Eukaryota; Viridiplantae; Streptophyta; Magnoliopsida; Brassicales; Brassicaceae
Description: long non-coding RNA (BNAP_LNC005431)
Source: RNAcentral
UCAUCACAACAUGGUUUACGACCACCCAUUAUUACUCUAUAAGUCAACAGACUUCACACGCCAAAAAAAAAUGUUACCGAACUUAAAUUUUAUUAUAUUUCAAUAUCAUGAAAUAAACUAGGUUAGAAUCAUGGGGUCGGAAAAUGGAACAUGGAAAAGGAAAGAAAAAUAAACACAAAAGUGGUAUAAGCAACUUUAUCUCAACUAACUAACUAUAUAUAUACACACGUAUGGGGUUUCUUGGCCAUUUUUUUGGGAUGCUUGAGAAAUAAUUCAGUAUAUAAUAGUAUUCUAUAUAUAUAUAUAUCUUGAAUUGAAGUAUUUAACGGUGGGCGUGGAAAACUCGAACCGAAAUUUUGUGGCCGAUUGAGCUCUAUAUAUAACAUUAGAUAAGUACCGUGUAAUGAAGUUGUAUGUAUUUUAAUUCGAUAAAAACCUUUCCCAAUUUAGAAACUUUGUUACAGAAUGACAUAGCGUACUUUUUUUCCACCUUUCAUAUAUAUCAGCUUUACGGCUCAUGUUGGAUUACUCGUAAACUUGAUGAUAUUAGCUAACAUUUUUAUAUGUACACAAUUGUUAGUUAUUUAUAUAUGUAUGCAGAUAGUUUAUUUAUAUUAUCUUUUCUUUCUCUAAUUUCUCAAAUCUUAUAUUAACAUGAUAUUAAGUAAAUUUUAUGUUUAUCCACAUGUUAUUAAGUAAAAAGAAGAUCAUGCUACUUGCGUUUUGAUAAUGACAAGAAAAUGAGACUUAAAAUAGAGACAAAGAACAUGAGGCUUCUCUUUUAAGUUUAUCUGUUAUUUUUUAACUGAGAAAUUAAUUGUUAACAAAAGUUCAGUUAAUGACGUAUCCACGCCCCUUUUGAAGAGGAUACGUCAUAGACUCAUAGCCAGUUCCGAACACGCCAGGACUGUGCCUUAGCGUCCGAUAUCAACACAUUGGCUGUCUGGCAAAAUUUAAGAGCUGAAGCUUUCUUAAAAAGCGAGUGAUAAGACUAAUUAAUUAAGAGCCAUUUAAUUUUUUCCUGCUGACGUAUCAUUCUGCGAACCCACCGGUGCCUCUGCCUGGUGCAGAGGGUCUUGGCCGUUGACCAAUGUCGUCUCCUCCUUCUCGUGGCUGACUUUCUGUUGGUCAAACGGACUAUGUGUGUUUGGAUCAAUACCCAUUCUUAUGAGCUUCCUCUUUAUAUGAGUGUUCCAAUAAUUUUUUAUAUCGUUGUCUGUUCUUCCCGGUAGUUCUGCUGCAAUCUUCGACCAUCUACAAUGUUAAAGAUUAAUUUUAUAAAUGUCACUAAUGGAGCACAUAGUAUUUUGUUAGAGAAAUAAAAUAUUAAAAGCAGUCAACAUUUUACUAGAAAUCUAAAUCGUUUAGUUAGAUAAAAUGGAAUACACAUUCCACUCAAACAAAGGAAAACAAAUUAUAAAGAUAAAUAUUCAUCUACUAUAUAAAAUAAGUAAAAUUAGCGAAUUAUUUUGAUGAAAAAAUAAUAAUAACCUAUUGCCAAGUUGCGCAUGAAGAUCAAUGACUAGUUGAAUUUCCUCUUCACUAAAAAGACCUCUCUUGAGAUCUGGACGCAGAUAAUUAGUCCACCGGAGACGGCAACUUUUGCCGCACCUCUUUAGCCCCGCCAGCUUCGGCACAUCUCUCCAGCACCAUCCGCCGCUUGCUCCACGUGUUCUUAAGAAAUCAACUAGUUUCCCAUCUUCGUCCGCCGUCCAUGGCCCCUUUCUGAGUCCAAUCUCAUCACAACAUGGUUUACGACCACCCAUUAUUACUCUAUAAGUCAACAGACUUCACACGCCAAAAAAAAAUGUUACCGAACUUAAAUUUUAUUAUAUUUCAAUAUCAUGAAAUAAACUAGGUUAGAAUCAUGGGGUCGGAAAAUGGAACAUGGAAAUAGAAAGAAAAAUAAACACAAAAGUGGUAUAAGCAAGUUUAUCUCAACUAACUAACUAUAUAUAUACACACGUAUGGGGUUUCUUGGCCAUUUUUUUGGGAUGCUUGAGAAAUAAUUCAGUAUAUAAUAGUAUUCUAUAUAUAUAUAUAUCUUGAAUUGAAGUAUUUAACGGUGGGCGUGG